ACUGUGGACUAUACAAGAACCUGUGAGUAGAUACUGAUUUGUCAGAUUGAAAGCAUAUAGGAUGAAACAGUAA
Molecule: non-coding RNA, 73 nt
Filed under: unclassified sequences
Description: RAGATH-18 RNA
Rfam family: RAGATH-18 RNA
About the family: Actinobacteria, Firmicutes, Fusobacteria, Thermotogae (1 example). Nearby to self-cleaving ribozyme genes
Source: Rfam by way of RNAcentral